RNAcentral lists this long non-coding RNA (295 nucleotides) under Lathyrus oleraceus (garden pea). Its description in RNAcentral is "Pisum sativum (pea) long non-coding RNA (PSAT_LNC015116)". Lineage: Eukaryota; Viridiplantae; Streptophyta; Magnoliopsida; Fabales; Fabaceae. The record is from RNAcentral.
UUAUUCCAACUUUUGGGUUAAUUAGUUUCUGUACAGUUUAAUUAGAAAAAACAGGAAAUUGUGUGGUUAAGCUAUCAGUCAACGAUUAUAUUAUGGUUAUUGUGGUUAAGCUAUCAGUCAAUGGUUCAUGAUUUUAUGUUUAUGAUUGUCGAAUUUAUUGUUCAAAUCUGGGUUGAAAUUGUGUUGUUGGGGCUGGUUAUGCUGUGAUUGAGUUCUGUAAGGAAAAAAUGAUUUGCUAUUUAAUUCUUUCUUUAAUUUCAUGGCCUUUUAAUUUCGGCCAAGUUAUGAUGUUAGC